RNAcentral lists this ribosomal RNA (370 nucleotides) under uncultured bacterium. RNAcentral describes it as "bacterial SSU rRNA". It matches the Rfam family "Bacterial small subunit ribosomal RNA", at positions 29 to 428 of the family's 1533-position model. The record is from RNAcentral.
AACGAACGCUGGCGGCAGGCUUAACACAUGCAAGUCGAACGGGCGUAGCAAUACGUCAGUGGCGGACGGGUGAGUAACACGUGGGAAUAUGCCUUUCGGUUCGGAACAACUCGGGGAAACCCGUGCUAAUUCCGGAUACGCCCUUACGGGAAAGAUUUAUCGCCGAAAGAUUAGCCCGCGUUGGAUUAGCUAGUUGGUGAGGUAAAGGCUCACCAAGGCGACGAUCCAUAGCUGGUUUGAGAGAACGACCAGCCACACUGGGACUGAGACACGGCCCAGACUCCUACGGGGAGGCAGCAGUGGGGAAUCUUGCGCAAUGCGCGAAAGCGUGACGCAGCAACGCCGCGUGGGGGAAGACGGCCUGGUGUAA